GACGAACGCUGGCGGCGUGCUUAGCACAUGCAAGUCGAACGGGAAGGCCCUGCUUGCAGGGUACUCGAGUGGCGAACGGGUGAGUAACACGUGGGUGAUCUGCCCUGCACUUCGGGAUAAGCCUGGGAAACUGGUUCUAAUACCGGAUAGGAGCCAUUUUUAGUGUGAUGGUUGGAAAGUUGUUUCGGUGUAGGAUGAGCGUGCGGCCUAUCAGCUUGUUGGUGGGGUAAUGGCCUACCAAGGCGGCGACGGGUAGCCGGCCUGGGAGGGUGGACGUCCACAGUCGGACUGAGACAGGGACCAGACUCCGACGGGAGGGAGCAGUGGCGAAUAUUGCACAAUGGGCGCAAGCCUGAUGCAGAGACGCCGAGUGGGGGAUGACGGCCUUCGGGUUGUAAUUUCAUUUCGCUAGGGCCGAAGCUUUUUGUGACGGUACCUAGAGAAGAAGCACCGGCUAACUACGUG
This 465-nucleotide ribosomal RNA is filed under the name uncultured bacterium. Its description in RNAcentral is "partial 16S ribosomal RNA". It matches the Rfam family "Bacterial small subunit ribosomal RNA", at positions 28 to 507 of the family's 1533-position model. The record is from RNAcentral.